Non-coding RNA from Arachis ipaensis, 415 nucleotides. Lineage: Eukaryota; Viridiplantae; Streptophyta; Magnoliopsida; Fabales; Fabaceae. The record is from RefSeq and is a predicted model, not a curated record.
CUUUUCUCUCUGUUAACAUUAAAAUGAAUGAAUAAACAAAAUUGCUAUCAGCUCAGUUUUGUUCUAUUUUUUUUAACUCUCUCUUCUUAUGCAUUAGUUCAGGAAGGAGGUGAAAGGAGCAAUUAUGGAAGGUGGAAUUCCAUUCAACAGGGUUUAUGGCAUGCAUGCCUUUGAGUAUCCAGGCAAAGAUCAAAGGUUUAAUGAGGUGUUCAACAAAGCUAUGACGAACGACUAAAUGACAUUGUUGGGAGUGCAUAUUAUAUUGCACCAAAGGUACUUCACAGGUCAUAUAGUGUGGAAGCAGAAAUAUGGAACCAGAGGUACUAUGGAGCGAGCAACAGAGUAGUGUAAUCUUUUUUUGAUAGAAAUUUUAUGUAUUAAGAGUUACAUGUUAAAGAGAUUUAUAAUUAAAAAA